UACGUAGGUGGCAAGCGUUGUCCGGAUUUAUUGGGUUUAAAGGGUGCGUAGGCGGGAGAUUAAGUCAGUGGUGAAAGCCCACAGCUCAACUGUGGAACUGCCAUUGAUACUGGUUUUCUUGAGUAUAGAUGAGGCAGGCGGAAUUUACGAUGUAGCGGUGAAAUGCAUAGAUAUCGUAAAGAACACCUAUAGCGAAGGCAGCUUGCUAAACUAUAACUGACGCUGAGGCACGAAAGCAUGGGGAGCGAACAGG
Molecule: unclassified non-coding RNA, 253 nt
Filed under: uncultured Cytophagales bacterium
Lineage: Bacteria; Pseudomonadati; Bacteroidota; Sphingobacteriia; Sphingobacteriales
Description: contains 16S-23S intergenic spacer region
Rfam family: Bacterial small subunit ribosomal RNA
Source: RNAcentral